UGUUAAAAAUUUCAUUUACUUGUAUUGUUAAAAAUUGGUGUGCCUGAUGGAAUAAUCAAACAAUGACACAUGAGGUGCCAUGUGUAUGUCAUCCUGACCUACAGAGAUCAAUUUUUAACAGUAAAAAUGAAUUAAAUUUUUAACA
This is a non-coding RNA of Gossypium raimondii (Peruvian cotton), 145 nucleotides long. NCBI's taxonomy places the organism in Eukaryota, Viridiplantae, Streptophyta, Magnoliopsida, Malvales, Malvaceae. The record is from Rfam.